GACGUAGGGCGCGAGCGUUGUUCGGAUUUAUUGGGCGUAAAGAGCUCGUAGGCGGCUUGUCGCGUCGACUGUGAAAGCCCGGGGCUUAACCCCGGGUCUGCAGUGGAUACGGGCAGGCUAGAGGUAGGUAGGGGAGAAUGGAAUUCCCGGUGUAGCGGUGAAAUGCGCAGAUAUCGGGAGGAACACCGGUGGCGAAGGCGGUUCUCUGGGCCUUACCUGACGCUGAGGAGCGAAAGCGUGGGGAGCGAACAGG
Molecule: ribosomal RNA, 253 nt
Filed under: uncultured bacterium
Lineage: Bacteria
Description: partial 16S ribosomal RNA
Rfam family: Bacterial small subunit ribosomal RNA
Source: RNAcentral